AGUUAACACACUGUACUUGAACAGUCAUGUUUCCGUUUACCAGAAACGGUCUGAAAGCACUCCGGGUACUCUACCAUUUUGCAUGCUGAAUGUUUCUGGCCUGGAUGCCGUCCGGGUAUUUUUUAUCAACGUCAUAUUUUUGGAAGUGAAUGUCUUGG
Molecule: long non-coding RNA, 158 nt
Organism: Haliotis rubra (blacklip abalone)
Lineage: Eukaryota; Metazoa; Mollusca; Gastropoda; Lepetellida; Haliotidae
Exons: 3
Source: RefSeq, a predicted model, not a curated record